UCAGGAUGAACGCUGGCGGCGUGCCUAAUACAUGCAAGUCGAGCGAAUGGAUUAAGAGCUUGCUCUUAUGAAGUUAGCGGCGGACGGGUGAGUAACACGUGGGUAACCUGCCCAUAAGACUGGGAUAACUCCGGGAAACCGGGGCUAAUACCGGAUAACAUUUUGAACUGCAUGGUUCGAAAUUGAAAGGCGGCUUCGGCUGUCACUUAUGGAUGGACCCGCGUCGCAUUAGCUAGUUGGUGAGGUAACGGCUCACCAAGGCAACGAUGCGUAGCCGACCUGAGAGGGUGAUCGGCCACACUGGGACUGAGACACGGCCCAGACUCCUACGGGAGGCAGCAGUAGGGAAUCUUCCGCAAUGGACGAAAGUCUGACGGAGCAACGCCGCGUGAGUGAUGAAGGCUUUCGGGUCGUAAAACUCUGUUGUUAGGGAAGAACAAGUGCUAGUUGAAUAAGCUGGCACCUUGACGGUACCUAACCAGAAAGCCACGGCUAACUACGUGCCAGCAGCCGCGGUAAUACGUAGGUGGCAAGCGUUAUCCGGAAUUAUUGGGCGUAAAGCGCGCGCAGGUGGUUUCUUAAGUCUGAUGUGAAAGCCCACGGCUCAACCGUGGAGGGUCAUUGGAAACUGGGAGACUUGAGUGCAGAAGAGGAAAGUGGAAUUCCAUGUGUAGCGGUGAAAUGCGUAGAGAUAUGGAGGAACACCAGUGGCGAAGGCGACUUUCUGGUCUGUAACUGAC
RNAcentral lists this ribosomal RNA (740 nucleotides) under Bacillus sp. L1955. RNAcentral describes it as "bacterial SSU rRNA". It matches the Rfam family "Bacterial small subunit ribosomal RNA", at positions 24 to 744 of the family's 1533-position model. Lineage: Bacteria; Bacillati; Bacillota; Bacilli; Caryophanales; Bacillaceae. The record is from RNAcentral.